Molecule: long non-coding RNA, 504 nt
Organism: Cydia pomonella (codling moth)
Lineage: Eukaryota; Metazoa; Arthropoda; Insecta; Lepidoptera; Tortricidae
Exons: 2
Source: RefSeq, a predicted model, not a curated record
ACGAUUAUUGUUGAUUUUAGAUUUCAUACAAUGAAAUUAAAAAGACAGCGCCCUACGCCUAAUUAUGUAGAAAAGGAAGUAACAUGUUUUUUUUGCCACUGCACCCACCUUGACACAUUUCAGAUUUGCCCUAUGGUUGACUGGUAAGAUACCCGCAAUAGGGUAUUCGACUGUAUUUAAGAUAAAUUAUUUCACACCAUGCAUGAAAAAAAACUGAAUAGGGUAGAAAUAUAAAAAUGUGCCUCGAAAACCUAACUGCUUGGCAAAGAGAACAAAUUGCCAAAGUGAACUAUGUAUCAUCGAAGAGUUCCGUUCUGUUCAUCAUCAGCAGUUCCACUUCAUCAAAUGUCACUUCUACAAAUCGGAGAGGAGAAAUCGCUAAACGUGUACUAUGCUUCGUUGAAGAGUUCCAUUCUGAUCAUCAUCAGCAGUUCCACUUCAUCAAAUGUCACUUUUUUAAAUGUAAAUGCUCGAUUUGUUACAGAAAAUACAAAAAUCAUUAUA